GCCCCUGUAGCUCAGUACGGAUAGAGCAGUGGUUUCCUAAACCAUGUGUCCCCAGUUCGAGUCUGGGCAGGGGUA
This 75-nucleotide transfer RNA is filed under the name Candidatus Zhuqueibacterota bacterium. Its description in RNAcentral is "candidate division KSB1 bacterium (freshwater sediment metagenome) tRNA-Arg". It matches the Rfam family "tRNA". Rfam says of the family: Transfer RNA (tRNA) molecules are approximately 80 nucleotides in length. Their secondary structure includes four short double-helical elements and three loops (D, anti-codon, and T loops). Lineage: Bacteria; Pseudomonadati. The record is from RNAcentral.